UCGUGCUAGAUGGGGAGGUAGCGGUGCCCUGAACCUGCAACCCGCUGUAGCAGGGUCGAAUUCCUGUCCCCGGCCCUGGAUUUUAGGGUCUGACCCGGGUAAGUGGUGUUGACGGCCGGGUCCCGUGCGGCGUAAGUUUGUAAACCCCGUCAGGUCCGGAAGGAAGCAGCGGUAAGCAAGUUCUUGCGGGUGCCACGGGGCAGCCUGGCUUGAGCUAACUGCCAGGGUAACGCCUGGGAAAAAGGGUCAAAGGCAGGUGCACGA
RNAcentral lists this signal recognition particle RNA (264 nucleotides) under Bacillota bacterium. RNAcentral describes it as "signal recognition particle sRNA large type". It matches the Rfam family "Bacterial large signal recognition particle RNA". From Rfam's summary of the family: The signal recognition particle (SRP) is a universally conserved ribonucleoprotein involved in the co-translational targeting of proteins to membranes. Archaeal SRP consists of a 7S RNA and homologues of the eukaryotic SRP19 and SRP54 proteins. RNAcentral also lists the same sequence under 1 other name. The record is from RNAcentral. Lineage: Bacteria; Bacillati; Bacillota.